This is a long non-coding RNA of Micropterus dolomieu (smallmouth bass), 283 nucleotides long. RefSeq lists it as uncharacterized. The transcript has 3 exons. Lineage: Eukaryota; Metazoa; Chordata; Actinopteri; Centrarchiformes; Centrarchidae. The record is from RefSeq and is a predicted model, not a curated record.
GUAGUAGUAGUUGUUGAUGUGAGUUGAUGUUGGUUAGAAAUAAGAGAUUGCUAUCCUGUUAAUUAAUUUUCCUUUUUGAAUACUUAGUUUAGACGCUCACAGGUGAGGCAGAAGAGGACGAUCCAGGGAAACUAGAAGGCUUCCAACUUGUCUUUGUUUUUCUUCCCCUCUUCUGGACUGGCAGUUUAACUUCUCCGUUGAUUACAAGAGACAGAGAGAAGAAUCGCACCAUGGAGGUCAAACUGUUAUGCUGUGACAUCAUGCUCAUGAUCUUAGCUGUUGC